CAGUCGCCGCGGGAAUACAGAGGGUGCAAGCGUUAAUCGGAAUUACUGGGCGUAAAGCGCGCGUAGGUGGUUUGUUAAGUUGGAUGUGAAAUCCCCGGGCUCAACCUGGGAACUGCAUCCAAAACUGGCAAGCUAGAGUAUUGUAGAGGGUGGUGGAAUUUCCUGUGUAGCGGUGAAAUGCGUAGAUAUAGGAAGGAACACCAGUGGCGAAGGCGACCACCUGGACUGAUACUGACACUGAGGUGCGAAAGCGUGGGGAGCAAACAGGAUUAGAUACCCCGUAGUCCCUGUCUCUUAUACA
Molecule: ribosomal RNA, 301 nt
Filed under: uncultured bacterium
Lineage: Bacteria
Description: partial 16S ribosomal RNA
Rfam family: Bacterial small subunit ribosomal RNA
Source: RNAcentral